GACGAACGCUGGCGGCGUGCCUAAUACAUGCAAGUAGAACGCUGAAGGAGGAGCUUGCUUCUCUGGAUGAGUUGCGAACGGGUGAGUAACGCGUAGGUAACCUGCCUGGUAGCGGGGGAUAACUAUUGGAAACGAUAGCUAAUACCGCAUAAUAGUAGAUGUUGCAUGACAUUUGCUUAAAAGGUGCAAUUGCAUCACUACCAGAUGGACCUGCGUUGUAUUAGCUAGUUGGUGGGGUAACGGCUCACCAAGGCGACGAUACAUAGCCGACCUGAGAGGGGGAUCGGCCACCCUGGGACUGAGACCAGGCCCAAACUCCUACCGGAGGCAGCCGUAGGGAAUCUUCGGCAAUGGACGGAAGUCUGACCGAGCAACGCCGCGUGAGUGAAGAAGGUUUUCGGAUCGUAAAGCUCGGUUGUAAGAGAAGAACGAGUGUGAGAGUGGAAAGUUCACACUGUGACGGUAUCUUACCAGAAAGAGACGGCUAACUACGUG
RNAcentral lists this ribosomal RNA (495 nucleotides) under uncultured bacterium. RNAcentral describes it as "partial 16S ribosomal RNA". It matches the Rfam family "Bacterial small subunit ribosomal RNA", at positions 28 to 507 of the family's 1533-position model. The record is from RNAcentral.